Molecule: unclassified non-coding RNA, 1035 nt
Filed under: Hevea brasiliensis (rubber tree)
Lineage: Eukaryota; Viridiplantae; Streptophyta; Magnoliopsida; Malpighiales; Euphorbiaceae
Source: RNAcentral
CAUAAAAUGACUAUAUAUUGGUAGUUACAAGAAAAACUAAAAUACACCACAAUGUAGUGAGUAUAAAUACAUUAAAUAAAGAUAUUAAAUCUAUUAUUUUUAGACAUAAUUAGCUUUAAACAAUUUAUAGGUUAAAAUAAUUAUGUAGAUAGUACAGAAUUAGAAUCUAGAAUACCAAAUAUAGAUAAAUAGUAAAAAAAAUUAACCUCACUACCACCAAAAUGAACAUCAAAUUUGAACAUAUGAAAUGGAAUUAAUUAAUAAGUUAAAAAAUAAAAUUUUCAAUUUUAAAACAGUUUUUUUUUUUUAAAUUGCAGCAUAUAUUUUUAAUGAAAUUUAUACUUACAUAUCCAUUAAAUAUUACCUAUAAUAACUAAGAUAAGUAUUUAAUUUAAACUUAAGUUUUAAUGAAGCCUAAAUUUUCUAUUCUCAACUCUAAACUUAAACAUAGCUUUAGCAAAUAUUAAUGAAGCCUAAAUUUCAUUUAUGUUAUUUUGUAAUUAAUAAUGUAAACCCUAAAAUUAGUUCUGAAAAUAAUUCAAAAUAAUAAAAAAAAAACACAUAAACCUAUAGAUCAGGCAAAUUAAUGCUCCAUGCUGUAAAUUUAAAAACAAACAUAAUAUCAAACAAAAUUUUCUACAAUAAAUGUGCAAAAGAAAAAAUAAGUAAUACUCACAUUUUGCAAGAAGUAGUGGAGAAUAGAAACAUUUGAUGAUCUUACCUUAAAAAAAAAUAAGUUAGAGAUUUGUCGAAAGGAGGGGAGGUUUAGGUGAAAUCUUGAGAGAAAAUGUUAUAAAAAUAGUAGUUAAAAGGCCGGAACACACAGAGAAUGAUAAAAUCUAAAGAAAACACUAGAUGCAUAUUUUUUUGUUGAUUGAAUUAUUAAGGUAACAGCUGUUAUCAUUAGUUAACAGUAAAUAAUGGUUGUUACCGUUAUACAAUGGUAGUAAUGGCCGUUAUCAAUGUAACUCAACAUUUGCCUUUAAAUAACGGGGUAAAGUGUAAUGGCCCCUUGGAAAACUCAUAAAUAAUGGC